CCUACGGGGUGCAGCAGUGGGGAAUAUUGCACAAUGGGGGAAACCCUGAUGCAGCAACGCCGCGUGAGUGAAGAAGUAUUUCGUUAUGUAAAGCUCUAUCAGCAGGGAAGACGAUGACGGUACCUGAGUACGAAGCCCCGGCUAACUACGUGCCAGCAGCCGCGGUAAUACGUAGGGGGCAAGCGUUAUCCGGAUUUACUUGGUGUAAGGGGAGCGUAGACGGCUGCGCAAGUCUGAAGUGAAAGCCCGGGGCUCAACCCCGGGAUUGCUUGGGAAACUGUGUAGCUAGAGUGCUGGAGAGGCAAGCAGAAUUCCUAGUGUAGCGGUGAAAGGCGUAGAUAUUAGGAAGAACACCAGUGGCGAAGGCGGCUUGCUGGACAGUAACUGACGUUGAGGCUCGAAAGCGUGGGGAGCAAACAGGAUUAGAUACCCCAGUAGUC
RNAcentral lists this ribosomal RNA (440 nucleotides) under uncultured bacterium. RNAcentral's name for it is "partial 16S ribosomal RNA". It matches the Rfam family "Bacterial small subunit ribosomal RNA", at positions 338 to 795 of the family's 1533-position model. The record is from RNAcentral.